UACAGAGGGUGCGAGCGUUGUCCGGAAUCACUGGGCGUAAAGGGCGCGUAGGUGGCGACCCAAGUCGAUGGUGAAAGCUCGCCGCUCAACGGCGAGUCGGCCACCGAUACUGGGUUGCUGGAGCACUGUAGAGGCAGAUGGAAUUCCGGGUGUAGCGGUGGAAUGCGUAGAGAUCCGGAAGAACACCGGUGGCGAAAGCGGCUCACUGGACCAUUACUGACGCUGAUGCACGAAAGCUAGGGGAGCAAACAGG
This 253-nucleotide ribosomal RNA is filed under the name uncultured bacterium. RNAcentral describes it as "partial 16S ribosomal RNA". It matches the Rfam family "Bacterial small subunit ribosomal RNA", at positions 524 to 776 of the family's 1533-position model. The record is from RNAcentral.